GUGCGCUGGGCGGGACUGGUUCCUCAACGGACGUUGAUAAAGUUGACAGCCGGCCCAUUUCCGGUUGAUGUCGGCCCUACACCGCCGGGCUAGACAGAUCGUCCAUCUCUGCAAAGGUAAAAGCCAGUCAGUCCUUUCCAAUACCAGAAGUUACUCGCUCUUGGUUUCCGGCCCAGUACCCUCUUGCUGGACCCGGACUGCGUGUAUGAUGCCACCUGCCACCGCGCCUGUUGUAUGCAUGCACCGCGAUCCCGGAAGGAGAGCCCACAGAAACCGGACGCACCUAGCGGGAUCGCGGCACGGGGCGCUGUUGAUCCUCAGAUGUGAGUAUCACGUGUCAUAAUGACAACAUCGACUGGAUCGCCCCAAGUCUGCACAUGCGCAGUGACAACAUCGACCGGAUCGCCCCGAGUCUGCACAUGCGCAGUGACACACCACCCAGUAUUCCGAACGCCGCAGUUUUCAGUUUCCGGAACAACGCAAACGUGCCCCACUCGAAGACUCAACUCAACGUUCCGGUGCGAAGUAUCCAGUUCGAUCCCCUCGAUAUCCGGUCAUCGCGACCAGGUGUCGAAUCCCGCUGGGUCGUCGAAUUUCGUACUACAGCGGAUGUGUCAAAAGCUACACAGUCGGGACUUCUGGUGGACACGUACCGGCUGGUGUUUUACCAGCACGAUGACGUCACUAGCUGCGAAACCGCGGCCUAUAGAAACUAAAUGGAGGUUGUUAACGCACAGGCCGUGAUAGCGGCGUCUGCUGAUAAUGCAGUGUGCGAGAAACUUAAACUAUGUGACUAUGUCGUUAUGUUAAUUAAGGUUCUUUGGGAUAUGUACACUAGCAUGUACCAACAGUGACUCGAUUAGUACACAUUCAAGUGGAAUACUUACAUAAACGCCAUUUAAAUUCAAACAUCCACAUUCAUUUAUGACAAAAAUACGCUUCCCUUUUGUUGUCGAAGUUUUUGUUUGUUUUGAAUACUUAGAAUUAGAAUACAUGUAUUGGUAAUACUAACUUUUAACAUAUUGAAUCAUUUCCCACUUCAAACACAAAGUUAAAUCAUGUAUACAUUAAACAUAUUUAGAACAAAUAUUUAUCAGCUUUGUUGUCAAGCCAUUUUAGUUUAAAGCCCUCCCCGUCAGACAAAUUGUGUGGAUAAAUUUGUGGACGGACCUACGAACUGACAGACAGACAUGAUGAUGGACAGAGGGUUAGCCUACGGUCACCUAUAUCAGAACACAUCUCUGAACACACAGUCGUGUGUUGUUUUUUUUUAUCCAUACAAACAAAACAAUUUAUUUGAUUUUGUAACAUUAUAUACAAUAAACAAAUAUGACAUGACACACAUACAAUAUUUAUACUAUAAAAACAGCAUGUUCAAUAUAUCUGAAACAAGAUUUUGGUACCAAAAAU
This is an RNA transcript of Dreissena polymorpha, 1410 nucleotides long. RefSeq lists it as uncharacterized. NCBI's taxonomy places the organism in Eukaryota, Metazoa, Mollusca, Bivalvia, Myida, Dreissenidae. The record is from RefSeq and is a predicted model, not a curated record. The transcript is spliced from 4 exons.